RNAcentral lists this ribosomal RNA (495 nucleotides) under uncultured bacterium. RNAcentral's name for it is "bacterial SSU rRNA". It matches the Rfam family "Bacterial small subunit ribosomal RNA", at positions 15 to 507 of the family's 1533-position model. The record is from RNAcentral.
GAUCAUGGCUCAGAUUGAACGCUGGCGGAAUGCUUUACACAUGCAAGUCGAGCGGCAGCGCGGGGCAACCUGGCGGCGAGCGGCGAACGGGUGAGUAAUACAUCGGAACGUGCCCAGACGUGGGGGAUAACUACUCGAAAGAGUGGCUAAUACCGCAUACGAUCUAAGGAUGAAAGCGGGGGAUCGCAAGACCUCGCGCGUUUGGAGCGGCCGAUGGCAGAUUAGGUAGUUGGUGGGGUAAAGGCUUACCAAGCCCGCGAUCUGUAGCUGGUCUGAGAGGAUGAUCAGCCACACUGGGACUGAGACACGGCCCAGACUCCUACGGGAGGCAGCAGUGGGGAAUUUUGGACAAUGGGCGAAAGCCUGAUCCAGCCAUUCCGCGUGCAGGAUGAAGGCCCUCGGGUUGUAAACUGCUUUUGUACAGAACGAAAAAGCUCUUUCUAAUACAGAGAGUCCAUGACGGUACUGUAAGAAUAAGCACCGGCUAACUACGUG